GGAUCCAGACUUUGAUUCUGGCUCAGAGUGAACGCUGGCGGCGUGCUUAACACAUGCAAGUCGAACGAGAACGGGUUAUAGCUUGCUAUAACUGUCAGCUAAGUGGCGCACGGGUGAGUAAUGUAUAGUUAACCUGCCCUCGAGAAAGGAAUAACAGUUGGAAACGACUGCUAAUGCCCUACAUGCCUUUAAGACAUAAGUCUGCAAGGGAAAUGCUUUAGUGCUCGAGGAUGGGACUGUAUGGUAUCAGCUAGUUGGUGAGGUAAUGGCUCACCAAGGCAAUGACGCCUAACUGGUUUGAGAGGAUGAUCAGUCACACUGGAACUGAGACACGGUCCAGACUCCUACGGGAGGCAGCAGUGGGGAAUAUUGCACAAUGGAGGAAACUCUGAUGCAGCANCGCCGCGUGGAGGAUGACACUUUUCGGAGCGUAAACUCCUUUUAUAUAGGAAGAUAAUGACGGUACUAUAUGAAUAAGCACCGGCUAACUCCGUGCCAGCAGCCGCGGUAAU
This 512-nucleotide ribosomal RNA is filed under the name uncultured bacterium. RNAcentral's name for it is "bacterial SSU rRNA". It matches the Rfam family "Bacterial small subunit ribosomal RNA", at positions 1 to 524 of the family's 1533-position model. The record is from RNAcentral.